Molecule: long non-coding RNA, 378 nt
Filed under: Solanum lycopersicum (tomato)
Lineage: Eukaryota; Viridiplantae; Streptophyta; Magnoliopsida; Solanales; Solanaceae
Description: long non-coding RNA (SLYC_LNC000400)
Source: RNAcentral
AAAGAAACAAGAGGCUAGACAAGUGUUUAGUUUAGUGGCAGAAGUAGAUUUUGCAUAGACACAAGUGUACAUGUUAUCUGAGUGUACUAGAUAGAUUUGUUUGACAAAACAUGUGGGCUCUCCGUCUUUGAUCUCAUACACUAAAAAGGUAAAUUACAUUCUCUCUUUUGGUUUUCGUCUCAAACUGAAUAAGAGGAAUGAAGGUACUUACUCUUCACUAAUGAAGCAGGGGUUUGAGCAGGCUCAGGAGUAACAUAGGGAUUAGACUCAGUAGGCAUAGAAGUUGCAGCGCUGCCAUAUAUAGGCGCAUAUGGAGGAUUCGAUCCGACAUUAACCGGAGUCCAGGUCUCAGAUACCGGAGCGAAGUUGUUUGGAUUG